This 203-nucleotide long non-coding RNA is filed under the name Mytilus galloprovincialis (Mediterranean mussel). Lineage: Eukaryota; Metazoa; Mollusca; Bivalvia; Mytilida; Mytilidae. The record is from RNAcentral.
UUACUUUAUAAUGAUAAUGAGUUAUAUUACCAUACAACUAAUAUAAGAUAUAAAAGGGGGAAAAGUCGCAUCAAAUGUUUACGUACCCUUUUAACUAAAAUUUACGUGUUACGCCAUGUCGUAACACACAUUUUGUGAAAAUAUUUUGUCGAUAUCUUAUAGGAUUUCUGAAAAUAAGAGAUAACAAGCCAAAAUCAUAUUUU